GCUCAGAUUGAACGCUGGCGGCAUGCCUUACACAUGCAAGUCGAACGGCAGCGCGGGGCAACCUGGCGGCGAGUGGCGAACGGGUGAGUAAUAUAUCGGAACGUACCCUGGAGUGGGGGAUAACGUAGCGAAAGUUACGCUAAUACCGCAUACGAUCUAAGGAUGAAAGUGGGGGAUUCGCAAGAACCUCAUGCUCCUGGAGCGGCCGAUAUCUGAUUAGCUAGUUGGUGGGGUAAAGGCCUACCAAGGCAUCGAUCAGUAGCUGGUCUGAGAGGACGACCAGCCACACUGGAACUGAGACACGGUCCAGACUCCUACGGGAGGCAGCAGUGGGGAAUUUUGGACAAUGGGCGAAAGCCUGAUCCAGCAAUGCCGCGUGAGUGAAGAAGGCCUUCGGGUUGUGAAGCUCUUUUGUCAGGGAAGAAACGGUGAGGGCUAAUAUCCCUUGCUAAUGACGGUACCUGAAGAAUAAGCACCGGCUAACUACGUGCCAGCAGCCGCGGUAAUACGUAGGGUGCAAGCGUUAAUCGGAAUUACUGGGCGUAAAGCGUGCGCAGGCGGUUUUGUAAGUCUGUCGUGAAAUCCCCGGGCUCAACCUGGGAAUUGCGAUGGAGACUGCAAGGCUAGAAUCUGGCAGAGGGGGGUAGAAUUCCACGUGUAGCAGUGAAAUGCGUAGAGAU
RNAcentral lists this ribosomal RNA (680 nucleotides) under uncultured bacterium. RNAcentral's name for it is "bacterial SSU rRNA". It matches the Rfam family "Bacterial small subunit ribosomal RNA", at positions 22 to 697 of the family's 1533-position model. The record is from RNAcentral.